Molecule: ribosomal RNA, 406 nt
Filed under: uncultured bacterium
Lineage: Bacteria
Description: partial 16S ribosomal RNA
Rfam family: Bacterial small subunit ribosomal RNA
Source: RNAcentral
AUUGAACGCUGGCGGCAGGCCUAACACAUGCAAGUCGAACGAGUGGCGGACGGGUGAGUAAUGUCUGGGAAACUGGCUGAUGGAGGGGGAUAACGACUGGAAACGGUAGCUAAUACCGCAUACCAUCAGAUGUGCCCAGGUGGGAUUAGGUUGUUGGUGGGGUAACGGCUCACCAAGGCGACGAUCCCUAGCUGGUCUGAGAGGAUGACCCGCCACACUGGAAUCGGGACACGGUCCAGACUCCUACGGGGGGCAGCAGUGGGGAAUUUUGGACAAUGGGGGGAAGCCCUAUGCAGCCAUGCCGGGUGUAUGGAGAAGGCCUUCGGGUUGUAAAGUUCUUUCCGCGGGGAGGCGGUACCCGAAGAAGAAGCACCGGCUAACUCCGUGCCAGCCGCCGCGGUAAUAC